GCGGAGGUCGUAUAACGGUAUUACGCCGGCUUCCCAAGCCGGUUUUCGCGGGUUCGACUCCCGUCCUCCGCUCCA
RNAcentral lists this transfer RNA (75 nucleotides) under Bacillota bacterium. RNAcentral describes it as "Firmicutes bacterium (gut metagenome) tRNA-Gly". It matches the Rfam family "tRNA". From Rfam's summary of the family: Transfer RNA (tRNA) molecules are approximately 80 nucleotides in length. Their secondary structure includes four short double-helical elements and three loops (D, anti-codon, and T loops). Further hydrogen bonds mediate the characteristic L-shaped molecular structure. tRNAs have two regions of fundamental functional importance: the anti-codon, which is responsible for specific mRNA codon recognition, and the 3' end, to which the tRNAs corresponding amino acid is attached (by aminoacyl-tRNA synthetases). tRNAs cope with the degeneracy of the genetic code in two manners: having more than one tRNA (with a specific anti-codon) for a particular amino acid; and 'wobble' base-pairing, i.e. permitting non-standard base-pairing at the 3rd anti-codon position. Lineage: Bacteria; Bacillati; Bacillota. The record is from RNAcentral.